UACAGAGGUCUCGAGCGUUAGGCGGAAUCACUGGGCUUAAAGCGUGCGCAGGCGGUUUUGUAAGCCAGAUGUGAAAGCCCCGGGCUCAACCUGGGAAUGGCAUUUGGGACUGCAAGGCUUGAGUGCGGCAGAGGAGACUGGAAUUCCUGGUGUAGCAGUGAAAUGCGUAGAUAUCAGGAGGAAUACCGAUGGCGAAGGCAGGUCUCUGGGCUGACACUGACGCUCAUGCACGAAAGCGUGGGGAGCAAACAGG
RNAcentral lists this ribosomal RNA (253 nucleotides) under uncultured bacterium. RNAcentral describes it as "partial 16S ribosomal RNA". It matches the Rfam family "Bacterial small subunit ribosomal RNA", at positions 524 to 776 of the family's 1533-position model. The record is from RNAcentral.